GAUGAACGCUGGCGGCGUGCCUAAUACAUGCAAGUCGAGCGAACAGACUAUGAGCUUGCUCCUCUGACGUUAGCGGCGGACGUGUGAGUAACACGUUGAUAACCUACCUAUAAGACUGGGAUAACUUCGGGAAACCGGAGCUAAUACCGUAUAAUAUAUUGAACCUAAUUGUUCAAUAGUGAAAGACGGUUUUGCUGUCACUUAUAGAUGGAUCCGCGCCGCAUUAUCUAGUUGGUAAGGUAACGGCUUACCAAGGCAACGAUGCGUAGCCGACCUGAGAGGGUGAUCGGCCACACUGGAACUGAGACCCGCUCCAGACUCCUACGGGAGGAAGCAGUAGGGAAUCUUCCGCAAUGGGCGAAAGCCUGACGGAGCAACGCCGCGUGAGUGAUGAAGGUCUUCGGAUCGUAAAACUCUGUUAUUAGGGAAGAACAAAUGUGUAAGUAAAUAUGCACGUCUUGACGGUACCUAAUCAGAAAGCCACGGCUAACUACGUG
RNAcentral lists this ribosomal RNA (497 nucleotides) under uncultured bacterium. Its description in RNAcentral is "partial 16S ribosomal RNA". It matches the Rfam family "Bacterial small subunit ribosomal RNA", at positions 28 to 507 of the family's 1533-position model. The record is from RNAcentral.